AUCGCUUCUCAGCCUUUUGGCUAAGAUCAAGUGUAGAUGACAAAAUCUUAGCUUUAUUAUACUUGAAUUUAAAAUAUUUCUACAGUAAGUUAGACUUUUUUUCAGUCUGUUUCAUAAAAAUACAAAUGUUAGGGUAUCCUUC
Oryctolagus cuniculus (rabbit) is the source of this 142-nucleotide small nuclear RNA. Its record names the gene U2. It matches the Rfam family "U2 spliceosomal RNA". From Rfam's summary of the family: U2 is a small nuclear RNA (snRNA) component of the spliceosome (involved in pre-mRNA splicing). Complementary binding between U2 snRNA (in an area lying towards the 5' end but 3' to hairpin I) and the branchpoint sequence (BPS) of the intron results the bulging out of an unpaired adenosine, on the BPS, which initiates a nucleophilic attack at the intronic 5' splice site, thus starting the first of two transesterification reactions that mediate splicing. NCBI's taxonomy places the organism in Eukaryota, Metazoa, Chordata, Mammalia, Lagomorpha, Leporidae. The record is from Ensembl.